CCUACGGGUGGCAGCAGUGAGGAAUAUUGGUCAAUGGACGCAAGUCUGAACCAGCCAUGCCGCGUGCAGGAAGACGGUUCUAUGUGUUGUAAACUUCUUUUGUCCGGGGGUAAACGCAGAUACGCGUAUCUGUCUGAGUGUAUCGUACGAAUAAGCAUCGGCUAACUCCGUGCCAGCAGCCGCGGUAAUACGGAGGGGGCAAGCGUUGUCCGGAUUUACUGGGUGUAAAGGGCGUGCAGCCGGAGAGACAAGUCAGAGGUGAAAUCCACGGGCUCAACCCGUGAACUGCAGUUGAAACUGGUUCCCUUGAGUGUCGGAGAGGUAAGCGGAAUGCCUGGUGUAGCGGUGAAAUGCGUAGAUAUAAGGAAGAACACCAGUGGCGAAGGCAGAUUACUGGACGAUAACUGACGGUGAGGCGCGAAAGCGUGGGGAUCAAACAGGAUUAGAUACCCCAGUAGUC
Molecule: ribosomal RNA, 460 nt
Filed under: uncultured bacterium
Lineage: Bacteria
Description: partial 16S ribosomal RNA
Rfam family: Bacterial small subunit ribosomal RNA
Source: RNAcentral